This 492-nucleotide ribosomal RNA is filed under the name uncultured bacterium. RNAcentral describes it as "partial 16S ribosomal RNA". It matches the Rfam family "Bacterial small subunit ribosomal RNA", at positions 29 to 507 of the family's 1533-position model. The record is from RNAcentral.
AGCGAACGCUGGCGGUAGGCCUAACACAUGCAAGUCGAACGGCAGCACAGUAAGAGCUUGCUCUUACGGGUGGCGAGUGGCGGACGGGUGAGGAAUACAUCGGAAUCUACUUUUUCGUGGGGGAUAACGCAGGGAAACUUACGCUAAUACCGCAUACGACCUACGGGUGAAAGCAGGGGAUCUUCGGACCUUGCGCGAUUGAAUGAGCCGAUGUCGGAUUAGCUAGUUGGCGGGGUAAAGGCCCACCAAGGCGACGAUCCGUAGCUGGUCUGAGAGGAUGAUCAGCCACACUGGAACUGAGACACGGUCCAGACUCCUACGGGAGGCAGCAGUGGGGAAUAUUGGACAAUGGGCGCAAGCCUGAUCCAGCCAUACCGCGUGGGUGAAGAAGGCCUUCGGGUUGUAAAGCCCUUUUGUUGGGAAAGAAAAGCAGCAGGUUAAUACCCCGCUGUUCUGACGGUACCCAAAGAAUAAGCACCGGCUAACUUCGUG